Molecule: long non-coding RNA, 389 nt
Organism: Branchiostoma belcheri (Belcher's lancelet)
Lineage: Eukaryota; Metazoa; Chordata; Leptocardii; Amphioxiformes; Branchiostomatidae
Exons: 3
Source: RefSeq, a predicted model, not a curated record
GACAAUGAGCGUACCAUAGUGAGAACUUGACCUGUCAGAGGUCGACAUAUUCAGUAGAGGAAAGACGACAGCGCGCUGUCAAACUGAUCUUUGCAGGACGAAAGGUGUUCUUUGUCGACGAAGAUCCAUACCUGUGGUCACCUGUGUGUAUAUAUCUAACUUUGUAACAUGGUCGGUAAUAUCAGGACACUGUGGCGCGAAUUUCCGGUCAAACAGGUGACAGUUUUAGGGGUGCUCCUGUCGAUAGGGUCCAUCUCUGGAAGCACCAGGCUACCGUUUCUCCCGUUCCUCACACACGACUUCUUCCCUUACCUGAAGAGUAACCAGAUAGGUUAUUACGCCGGGUUCCUGACAAGUGCGACCUAUGCUGGCAUGUUUCUCGGCUGUUU